RNAcentral lists this ribosomal RNA (429 nucleotides) under Bacteroidota bacterium. Its description in RNAcentral is "Bacteroidetes bacterium partial 16S ribosomal RNA". It matches the Rfam family "Bacterial small subunit ribosomal RNA", at positions 355 to 776 of the family's 1533-position model. Lineage: Bacteria; Pseudomonadati; Bacteroidota. The record is from RNAcentral.
UAGGGAAUCUUCGGCAAUGGGGGGAACCCUGACCGAGCAACGCCGCGUGAGUGAAGAAGGUUUUCGGAUCGUAAAGCUCUGUUGUUAAGGAAGAACGAGUGUGAGAAUGGAAAGUUCAUACUGUGACGGUACUUAACCAGAAAGGGACGGCUAACUACGUGCCAGCAGCCGCGGUAAUACGUAGGUCCCGAGCGUUGUCCGGAUUUUUUGGGCGUAAAGCGAGCGCAGGCGGUUAGAUAAGUCUGAAGUUAAAGGCAGUGGCUCAACCAUUGUAGGCUUUGGAAACUGUUUAACUUGAGUGCAGAAGGGGAGAGUGGAAUUGCAUGUGUAGCGGUGAAAUGCGUAGAUAUAUGGAGGAACACCGGUGGCGAAGGCGGCUCUCUGGUCUGUAACUGACGCUGAGGCUCGAAAGCGUGGGGAGCGAACAGG